RNAcentral lists this ribosomal RNA (232 nucleotides) under uncultured bacterium. RNAcentral describes it as "partial 16S ribosomal RNA". It matches the Rfam family "Bacterial small subunit ribosomal RNA", at positions 99 to 334 of the family's 1533-position model. The record is from RNAcentral.
CGGACGGGUGAGUAAUGUCUGGGAAACUGCCUGAUGGAGGGGGAUAACUACUGGAAACGGUAGCUAAUACCGCAUAACGUCGCAAGACCAAAGAGGGGGACCUUAGGGCCUCUUGCCAUCGGAUGUGCUCAGAUGGGAUUAGCUAGUAGGUGGGGUAACGGCUCACCUAGGCGACGAUCCCUAGCUGGUCUGAGAGGAUGACCAGCCACACUGGAACUGAGACACGGUCCAG